Molecule: ribosomal RNA, 521 nt
Filed under: uncultured ciliate
Lineage: Eukaryota; Ciliophora
Description: SSU rRNA
Rfam family: Eukaryotic small subunit ribosomal RNA
Source: RNAcentral
UAGUCAUAUGCUUGUCUCAAAGACUAAGCCAUGCACGUCUAAGUAUGAAUGAUAUACAGUGAAACUGCGAAUGGCUCAUUAAAACAGUUAUAGUUUAUUUGAUAAUCAAAUUUACAUGGAUAACCGUGGUAAUUCUAGAGCUAAUACAUGCUGUUAAGCCUGACUCUUGGGAAGGGCUGUAUUUAUUAGAUAACAAACCAAUAUUCCUCGUGUCUAUUGUGAUGACUCAUAAUAACUGAUCGAAUCGCAUGGACUUUGUCCGCGAUACAUCAUUCAAGUUUCUGCCCCAUCAGCUGUCGAUGGUAGUGUAUUGGACUACCAUGGCUUUAACGGGUAACGGAGGAUUAGGGUUCGAUUCCGGAGAGGGAGCCUGAGAAACGGCUACCACAUCUAAGGAAGGCAGCAGGCGCGUAAAUUACCCAAUCCUAAUUCAGGGAGGUAGUGACAAGAAAUAAAGAACUGAGGCCUUCGCUUCAGGAUCUCAAUGAGUAGAAUUUAAACCCCUUUACGAGGAUCAAUUG